Molecule: ribosomal RNA, 372 nt
Filed under: uncultured organism
Description: bacterial SSU rRNA
Rfam family: Bacterial small subunit ribosomal RNA
Source: RNAcentral
CGUAGGGGGCAAGCGUUGUCCGGAUUUAUUGGGCGUAAAGCGCGCGCAGGCGGCUCGGAGAGCCCGGCGUGAAAGCCCCCAGCUUAACUGGGGGAGGUCGUCGGGGACCUCGGGGCUGGAGGCCGGUAGGGGCGAGCGGAAUUCCCGGUGUAGUGGUGGAAUGCGUAGAGAUCGGGAGGAACACCAGUGGCGAAGGCGGCUCGCUGGCCCGGACCUGACGCUCAGGCGCGAAAGCGUGGGGAGCGAUCCGGAUUAGAUACCCGGGUAGUCCACGCCGUAAACGAUGGGCACUAGGUGUCGGGGGUAUCGACCCCCCCGGUGCCGUCGCUAACGCAGUAAGUGCCCCGCCUGGGGACUACGGCCGCAAGGCUA